AGAGUUUGAUCCUGGCUCAGAUUGAACGCUGGCGGCAGGCCUAACACAUGCAAGUCGAACGGUAACAGGAAGAAGCUUGCUUCCUUGCUGACGAGUGGCGGACGGGUGAGUAAUGUCUGGGAAACUGCCUGAUGGAGGGGGAUAACUACUGGAAACGGUAGCUAAUACCGCAUAACGUCGCAAGACCAAAGAGGGGGACCUUCGGGCCUCUUGCCAUCGGAUGUGCCCAGAUGGGAUUAGCUAGUAGGUGGGGUAACGGCUCACCUAGGCGACGAUCCCUAGCUGGUCUGAGAGGAUGACCAGCCACACUGGAACUGAGACACGGUCCAGACUCCUACGGGAGGCAGCAGUGGGGAAUAUUGCACAAUGGGCGCAAGCCUGAUGCAGCCAUGCCGCGUGUAUGAAGAAGGCCUUCGGGUUGUAAAGUACUUUCAGCGGGGAGGAAGGGAGUAAAGUUAAUACCUUUGCUCAUUGACGUUACCCGCAGAAGAAGCACCGGCUAACUCCGUGCCAGCAGCCGCGGUAAUACGGAGGGUGCAAGCGUUAAUCGGAAUUACUGGGCGUAAAGCGCACGCAGGCGGUUUGUUAAGUCAGAUGUGAAAUCCCCGGGCUCAACCUGGGAACUGCAUCUGAUACUGGCAAGCUUGAGUCUCGUAGAGGGGGGUAGAAUUCCAGGUGUAGCGGUGAAAUGCGUAGAGAUCUGGAGGAAUACCGGUGGCGAAAGCGGCCCCCUGGACGAAGACUGACGCUCAGUGCGAAAGCGUGGGGAGCAAACAGGAUUAGAUAC
This 787-nucleotide ribosomal RNA is filed under the name uncultured soil bacterium. RNAcentral's name for it is "bacterial SSU rRNA". It matches the Rfam family "Bacterial small subunit ribosomal RNA", at positions 8 to 785 of the family's 1533-position model. The record is from RNAcentral.